UCAGUUGGAGAGAGAGAUGUGUUGGAACUUGAUCUAUUAUCUCACUACAUGCCAUUGCUGUUUCUGGAAAGGAUAUGGGAUGUGAAAUGUAUCAAAGUAUGAUGCCAGCUGCACGCCUUUCUUUACGUCAAAAGAAGCCUCAUGAGGAUGUUGCAUUUGUACAUGAAUUGUCCAGUACACUGAAAAGACACAACAUUGCUAAAGAUUUUCAUCUUGAACUCAUCAGACUAGAUGGAACACCACCAAACUUCAAAAGGUUUCUUCCUUGCAUGUGUCCUAAUGAGUGCAUGAGGAAAGUCUUCAAUAGGAAUAUAUAGUUGAAGAAGCUAAUGGACUGCUGACUUACCACAACUGUAUGCAGGACAAUGCAGAAUGACUGCUCCAAAGAAGCAAAAAUAGUAC
Molecule: non-coding RNA, 402 nt
Organism: Chiloscyllium plagiosum (whitespotted bambooshark)
Lineage: Eukaryota; Metazoa; Chordata; Chondrichthyes; Orectolobiformes; Hemiscylliidae
Source: RefSeq, a predicted model, not a curated record